AUCUUUUAAGAUUCUCUAUAUAGUUGCUCCCACAGUGAUUUAAGAUCUGGGAAAUACAAUAAGCCAAUCUCUAGUCAAAGUUAGAUUAAUUUCGGUAUCGACAGUACCCAAAACAAGACCUUUAACAUGGAGAGGAUAGGAGAUAAUGAGAUUAUGAAACCUAUUUAGGACUGGCAGACAGAACAACAGUAAUAGUAUCAGGUUACAGGAUCCUUGAUUGAACUCGAUGCUUUGCCCUUCCCAGAAUUGUCCAGUGCUUCAGAGAUCACCAGUCCUGAUCACACUGUGUCAACAAGUAAGCCCGUCUAGUUUUAAUUUAGGAUAUUUGGAAAUAUCCUACAUUUCCUACAUUUGGAAAAUCUUUUGAAAAAGAGGCAGAGGUCUAAGUUGCUGAGGAUGGUCUCAAACUCCUGGCCUCAAGCGAUCCUCCCACCUUGGCCUCGGGUACGGGGGAGUUUUCCAGAAGCUACGUGACAUGUGAUAUAUCACAACACAUUGAGUACAGAACCACAUAUGUGAAUCCAACUGUCUUCUCUUAUGCUGGACAUUAAAAAAGACUUGCAGAAACAUACAU
Long non-coding RNA from Rhinopithecus roxellana (golden snub-nosed monkey), 574 nucleotides. RefSeq lists it as uncharacterized. The transcript has 4 exons. Lineage: Eukaryota; Metazoa; Chordata; Mammalia; Primates; Cercopithecidae. The record is from RefSeq and is a predicted model, not a curated record.